Molecule: long non-coding RNA, 145 nt
Filed under: Mustela putorius furo (domestic ferret)
Lineage: Eukaryota; Metazoa; Chordata; Mammalia; Carnivora; Mustelidae
Description: lncRNA (ENSMPUG00000030707.1)
Source: RNAcentral
AAGACUAUGAACGAUGUAUUCUCACACAGGAACACCCACAAUGACUGGUAGCUGGGUCAGAAACCGGUUUGCGAAGCUGUCCUGGCCCCUACAGGAGAAACUUUGCCAGUCCCUGACUUAGAUGCUGAUUCUGCACAAACAAAGC